Non-coding RNA from Callithrix jacchus (white-tufted-ear marmoset), 7816 nucleotides. Lineage: Eukaryota; Metazoa; Chordata; Mammalia; Primates; Cebidae. The record is from RefSeq and is a predicted model, not a curated record.
ACUAAAUUUCUCUUUUAUUUGAUAUAAGUAUGCUCACUUCUGCUUUCUUUUGGUUACCAUUUGCGUGGAAUGUCUUUUUCCAUCCUUUCACUUUCCACCUAUUUGUGCCUUUAAAUUUAAAGCAAGUCUCUUGUGGACAGCAUAUUGCUGAGUCUUUAUAAAAUCUGUUCAAUCACUCUAUGCCUUUUGGUUGGGCAGUUUAAUCUAUAAUCAGUUAAAGAGACCAUUAAUAGAUAUGUACUUAUUAUUGCCAUUUUGCUUAUUGUUUUCUGUCUGUUUGGCAGUUGUUUUCUCUUUGAUUCAAUGAUGUUUUGUAAUGAUUUGCUUUGUUUUUUUGUGUGUGUGUAUGUGUGUGUAUAUCAGUGAUAGAGGUUUGGGUACUUAUUUCAAGGCUUGCUUAAAAGAUCUUGUCUAUUUUAAGUUGGUAACAAUUUAACUUUGAUCAUGCACAAUAACUAUACUUUCAAUUCUACACGUUUUGUGUUCUUGUAGUCAGUUUGCUUCUUUUUACAUUGUGUGUCUCUUAAUAAACGUUUAUCUUUUAACUCUUAUGUUAGGGUUAACAGUAAUUUAUAUGCUAAAUGUUGCAUUAUUCUGUAUUUGUCUACAUAUUUAUCUUUGCCAUUGAGAUUUAUACUUUCAUGUGUUUUCUCGUGGCUGCUUAGCAUGUUUUCAUUUCAAAUUGAAGAAACCUCUUCAUCAUUUUUGUAAGUGAGGCUUCGGGGUAACAACCUUUCUCAGUUUUGUUUAUUUGGGAAAGACUUUCUCUCUCCAUUUUUAAGGAUAAUUUUACAGGUAUAGUAUUCUUGAUUGGCAGGGUUUCUUCUUUUCUUUCAGUACUUUGAAUUUAUUAUCUCACUCUUUCCUGGCCUACAGUGUUUCUGCUGAGAAAUCCACUGAUAGUCUUACCCACAUUGCCUUAGAUGUGAUGUCACUUUUCUCUUGCUGUUUUCAAAAUGCGCUUUGUUCUUGACUUCUGACAAUUUGGUCAUAAUGUAUCUCAUUGUAUCCUUCUUCAGACUGACCCUAUUUUAGGCCCUUUGAGUUUCUUUAAUCUAAAUGUUCAUUUCUCUCCCAAGAUUUGGGAAGUUUUUAGCCAUUAAAUCUUUAAGUAAACUUCUUAACCCUUUCUCUUCUCCUUCUGAUACUUUCAUAAUGCAUAUAUUGCUUCACUUGAUUAUGGUCCAUAAAUCCUAUAGGAUGUCUUCAUUCUUUUUUAUUUUUAUUUUUCCUUUUUCUCCCCUGACUGGAUAAUCUCAAAUGACCUAUCUUCAAAUUCACAGAUUCCUCCUUCUGCUUGAUUGAAUCUGUUCUUAAGGCUCUCCAUCAUAUUUUCUAUUUCAUUCAUUGUACUUUUCACCUCCAGAAAUUCCUGGUUUUCUAAUGACUUUUAUCUCUUUGUCGAACUUCUAGUUUUGUUCAUGUGUUGUUUUCCUGAAUAUGUUGAGUUGUCUGACUGUGUUCUCUUACAGCUUACUGAGAUUUUUUUAAACCAAUUAUUUGGAGUUCUUUGCCAGAAAAUUCAAGGCUUUCCAUUUCCCUCGGGUUGGUUACUGGAAAAUCAGUCAUGUUUCAUUGGUUUUAUAUGUUUCUUAUAACCUUGCAUUUGUGUCUACACAUUUAAAGGAGCAGUCACCUCUUCCAGACGUUAUGGGCUGGCUUUGGUGGGGAAAGACCUUCACCUGUGGGCGGGUAUGAGGGCACCAGCUGGGGUGUGACAGUUCUGGCUCCAGGUGGAUACAACUUGGAUUCUGGGCAGUUGAAUUAGCUGGGGUCAGCAUCAGUGAAGAUUGUGGGCGUCAUCAGUCAUAAAAGCUGUGGGUGUCCAUGAUGGUGACAAAAGCUACUGGGGUUCUGAUCACCUCUUUCCCCAUAGAGAGAGGUCACAGCCAAAGAGAUCCCCUUUGUUGCCAAGCUGUGCCAGGGUGGAGGAUGGGCUGAUGCAGAUAAAAUGCUUCCAGCACCUUGGUUUGAGGCUGCUUCAAUGAGUUCCUGCCACUCCUUCAUUGCACUCUGGAGCAUUCCCAGAGCUGUCUGUGUUGGUAAAGUUGUUGUUCAAUUCUUGCUUUCAUCGGGGAGACAAGAGCUGGGAUCUCCUAGUGUAUGAUCUUGUUGAUAUGAGUUGCCUGCUUUUAAUUUUUUAGCUAAUUUUUCUGAUUACAAAGUAUUGAGGUUCUCUGAAGAAUAUUUCAGAUAUUUAGGAAAUUUAAAAAUAAGAUUAAAAUAUUGAUUAAAUUCUGGUUUAAAUCCUUCCAGGCUUUUAUAAUGCAUUUGUAAGUACACCCAUAUCUUUGCAAAGACAGCACUGUAUUUUUCAGAUGAUGGUGCUGAAAAUGCACUUUUGUCUUCAUGUACCACUAUUUCAUGAACAUUUUUUGAGGUCAUUCAUAAUUUGUCUGUAGCUUGACUUGUAAUGGCCGCCUAGUAUUCCAUCAUGACUGACUCCAUUAAACCACUUUCCUGCCAUUGACAUGUCAGCUGUUUCCACACUGUUGUUAAUAUAAAUAAUUCUAAUAAUGAGCAUCCCCUGUAGAUAAACCUUUUCACAUGGCUCAGUGCUUACUUUCUUGGGGUAAGUUUGUAAACGUAAAAUUGUUGGAUUAGAGGCUCUGCAUAAUUCUGAGAUUUCUAGCACAUGUUGCUAGGUUACUAAAGGCUUCCAAUUGAACUGCUACGCUUAAUGUAUGAGAAUCCCUUUCCCUGCAAUAUACAUUCUUUUAAUUUCCUUACAAGUGUCCCGGACCAUUAUGAACAUGAUUUUAAUUUAUCAUUUAAAGUACUCACCUUAGACAUCUGUACCUAAAUUUUUUAUUGUAUGUUGAGUGUAUACUGACCUCCAUAUAAAUAACCCUCUUUUAUUACUGGACAUUUAAACCUAAAAAACGUUAACAACAAAAAAACCCUAAAUAAUUUUAAUCCAGCAUAAGAUGAUGAUGACACUAGACUAUGAGAAUUCAUACAUUCUGUUCAGGAGCUUCCCAAUAUAUCUAGUCUCCUCUGCUGUUCAUCAUAAAGUCCCCAAAUCACUUCCUGAUGCUGCUGUCUCUAUAUUGAUGGAGUCUCUUAAUUUCACUACUGCAGCAACUUGUGAUGACUGUAACACUGAAAAUUCACUCGCCACAUAGUAAGGGCGUCUGAGUGCCCUUGGGAUUGCUUUAAGGAAAAGCUGUCUCUCCCCUCUUGCCCAUUCUAUACCCUUACCUUCCCACUGCUAGGCCUGGCCUAACUUUUCUCCCCGCUAAGUACAGCCAACCUGGCUGACCUUGGUCUUUGCCUACAUUUGUGUGGGCUGGGUUAAGACUGUGGAUGAGCAGUUAUAAUUUGGAGGAUCAGCGAUAAUCUUCCUCUAACUGGCUCCUCUCAUUGGCUUCUUCUUCUCCUCCCAGCACUUUGUGUGGAGUAGCAGAAAGCCAGGCUAGGCUCCUUUAGGAGAGGUAGACAUCAGCUCGUAAGCAGCAUGGAGGAUUCUGUUUGGGAAACAAUCAAGUGCUUUUUUUUUCAACUACAGGAUUUUAAAACCACCACUGAAAACUGGUAGUCCUGCAUUCUUAACCUGCAAAUAUCUCUGUGUACAAGACUGCACUUGUAAGAAACCAGGCCUGCAAGUGCUUGCACCAUAAAAUCAUCCAAAACAUUCACUAAGUUCCUACUUUGUGCAACACCACGAGGGUUAAUAUAUUCCCCAGUCAGUUGUCCCUGCCCUCACCCCAUUCACAAUGUAAAGUGAUAAUUCCAGACCAUGUGCUGUGUUGUCACCUGCCACUGCUUGGAUUCAUGCUCAUAACGUCUCUCCUGCCUCCCCCCACCACAAAGUUAUAUCAUUUGUAUUAAAGAAGUUGCUAAAGGGGAUUCAAAUCAAUUACUCGGGAACUCUGAAGACAAGCAUCUGGAGAAAGUUCCUCUGAGCUGCCCUGUAGCUCCUGCGCUUUUCCUGACCCUGCGUCUUAUCUCAGGGGCCAUUUCCUCCCAGAGUCACCUCUGACGUUUGUCCAGUCAUCCACAGCUAGUGGUUAAUUCUCACCAAGUGCCACCAAGGGAGGGUUGGGAAUUGCAUUAGACAGAGAGACACUACAAAAUAUACAUAAUAACAUAGAAAUGUAACCCACAUGUACAUUACUUACAAUUCAGCAAGCUGUGAGGAUGGCUCCGUCAUAUUUCAAAAAGAGGCAGAAGUAACACAUCUGCAUUUUCUGACCAGUGACUGCCCUCUCUGUCAGGCAGUGAGGCAGAUGGUGUCCUGGAGUGUUUCCAGUCUAAGUUACCAUUGAGGGAGAAGCCCCCAAACAUGUAGCAAGUAAAUCAAAGGCCACUUCUCACAGAUACAUCUCAGGUCAACUUGCUCAGUUUUCUGGGAAAGUGAAAAAGGCAAGAGAUCUAACAGGGAGGCAUCCUCAGGGAGGCUGGGCACGUGUCUGCAUUUGAAGUGCCUUUAUGGAUCUCACUGCCAGGGCAGCAGCUCACUGCCCCAGCCCCACCAUCGGUCAUUUGUGGCUUUCCAUGGACCUCAAGCCUCCUACCUAACCCAUCAGGAAAAUAUUCCCCCAUGAAAACACAUAUCCUCAAUCAUUUUUACCUUCCUCUUGUCCGUUUUGCUCCACUGCCCCUAUUAUGUGGCCCUAGCUAGGACCACAGAGGUCCCUGGGGUGAGGACUUGUCGGCGUGGAGGGACUGGCUGAAACCCAGGCUGCCCUCUCCUAGCAUGAGCCACACUCGCCACCUCCCAUCAGCGUCUCCAAGGCCUCAUGUGCAUGAAGGGGACCUGAGCAGCCUGUUUCCUGAGGGAGGACGCCACCACUCGGAGCCACAUAUCGCUGAGCCUGAAGACAGAGAGCAGUGUGGAAGGGAGCAGAAGGAUUCAGGAAUUCUCUCUGUGAGUGGCAUUUAGAACCUGAGUCACUGCCUCCCAGUAUAUCUAAUUAGCCCGAAAGCACGGGAAAUCUGGGAGGUUAAUUAAAACCAUGUAGUCCUGUCUUCCUUCAUGAAUCCUUCAGAUACAUGAUAAAGUAUCUGAAAAUGGAAUAAAUAAAAUUUCUAAAAUGCCCAUAAUCUCAAUAAUACAUGAAACAAAAAUCCAAUGAGCGCUUUUGUUCCACAUGGUGUGCUAAGCAUUUUACAUGUGUUAUCUCACUAAUUUCUUCCAACUAUCCUAAGAGGUAAACAUGACUUACAGAUUUUUCAUCCUACACAUUGAGGAAAUUGCAGUUAGGAAAAUCAUAAAUCUCCUAAACGGCAGAAGCCAAGAUUCAGACCUUACCUAGUUCUAACGCUGAAGAGACAUUUGUCUAAAGCAACUCGGUUCUUGCCACACAUUCUCCGCUUACUCUGUGGUGUGAGUGACUGUGCACAGCUCCAGAAUCUCCCAGCGGACCCCCAUGGACCAGGCAGGGUUGCUAUGUGGUACACAUGUAUUGUGAGAUCAUCGAUUCCUCUCCUACCCACUCUUUUCAUCUGAACACGCCUUGGGAUUUGCUUUCUUUAGUGGAAGUUUCCGGCUUGGAUGUAACAUCUUUUGUAUUUGGUGCUAAUAAGAAUCUGGACAUGAGGCUGGGACCUGGCCUUACCAAGCCAGGGUUUCUGUAAGGCAGGAUUGAAUGACAUAACGUCUGUUACAUCAUGUUACAAAGACGGAAGCCAUCUCCCCCUCUGAAUAACCAAAAAAGCAUAGCACCCCCAGGAAUUCAAGUUAGUCGCUAACCAGGAAGUGGAUGCACCCUCCGUAUUUCAAGGGACCCUGAAAGUUACCCCGUGGGAUGUGUGCAUGAAGUGUGCAGCCAGCGCCAGCAGACCCCAUCCCAGACAACGAAAACGCUGUGCAGAAGCGGCCCUGCCCCUACCCAUACGGACCACUCAGUCUAGGAGGAAAGAGUUGCUGUUUGCUGUCUUGAAAAAGGAGGAGGAAGAGGAGGAAGAAAGAAAAGGAGGAGGAGGAAAACAAGAUCAAGGAAGGGAGGCAAGGGGGAGGCAGAAAAAGAAAAAGAUUAACUGGCUGGAGAAAACAGUUUUCAUGCCAUGUUUUUUCUUUAAAAAAGGAAACAGCCUCACAGGGCCCCUGCAGCAGCCUCCUGGGAAGGGGCUCUGAGCCCUGCACCCUGCCCUGUGCCCUGAACCCAGCGCUCACAGCUGAUCCCCUUGGUUGGAGCAAGCACACCUCUGCUUGGGCCACUGAGCAAGAGCUGAGUGCCAUGCCAAGACAUGCUCCCUACAGGAGAGGCGGCGGCCAGGAAAACAAUGCCCAGAGGCACACAGCUCACUGUGAAGAAACUUUUUCCUAUACCUAUUACCUCCCAAAUGAAACCUAUUGCUCUGUGAGUUUUAGAGCACUUUGUUUUCCGGUCUGAAUGAAGUUGGGUUGUGUGCACAUGCAUGUGUGUGGGCGUGCAUGUGUGUUGUGUGUGCACGUGUGUUGUGUAUGUGCACAUGCAUGUGUGUGGUGUGCAUGUGUGUGGUGUGCAUGUGUGUGGGCGUGCAUGUGUGAGUUUUAGAGCACUUUGUUUUCCAGUCUGAAUGAAGUUUGGGUUGUGUGCACAUGCAUGUGUGGGGGUGCAUAUGUGUGUGCAUGUAUGCACACAUGCAUGUGUGUGGUCAUGCAUGUGUGUGGGCAUGCACGUGUGUUGUGUGUGUUCAUGCAUGUGUGUGGAUGUGCAUGUGUGUGCAUGUAUGUAUGCAUGCAUGUGUGGGUGUGCAUGUGUGUUGUGUAUGUGUGUGUGCAUAUGUGUGGGUGUGCAUGUAUGUGUAUGUAUGUGCACAUGCAUGUGUGUGGGCGUGGGUGUGCACAUGUGUUGUGUGUGCACAUGCAUGUGUGGGCGUGCAAGUGUGCAUUCCUCUGUGCACACAGGCAUGCAUGAACUCACACAGGCAGUGAGGCCUCCUCUCUGCAUCUCCCAUGUCCUGAGCUCCACCUGGUUUUGCACUUACUUGCAUGUCCUGCUGAGGAAGCCUCUAGUUUAAUGCACACAGUUUUCUACUCACCCUGUGACUAUUCCAGUCGCUUCAUGGAGGGUUAUGGGACAAUGGAGUUCCUGGUAAAGGUGAACCAGACGGGUAGCAGAUGUGCCUCCAGACCUUUGACUACAGCCUCAGGACGCAGGCUGCUCCUGCCCACUGGCUCCUGAAGGCUAAGCUGCAAAAGCCGCCCUGCUCUCAGCUCUGAUAGCAGCAGGCACAGUGGGCAGGCGCAGCCUACCUGCACACAUACGGCUCAUGGGAACAAGUGUCUGCUGUUAGGCUCUCCCUUGCCCUGCGGUUGACACGUGACUAACACAGUGGUGGCCGAAGUGAAUGGGAGCGGAGCGCAGAGCCGGCGAUGUACCUAGGAUGGGCCUGUGUUGGUGCCCAAGAGCACCCCCAGAGUCCAUCUUCAGCGGAGCAUCCAUCCAAGGGAGCUCCCCACUCUCUAGAAGGUGAAUCUGGAAGCACCAGUGGCCCUUCACUGUGCAGUGUGGGCAGCCCAGACCCCCAGCCUCAUGCCCACGGAGACCCAGCACCCCAGACUCCUGCAGUCUUGGGUCCCAGCCCUGUUGAGGCAAAGUCCACAUUCCGCUGGGCCCUGCGGUGCAGCACGGGCACCAGGGAGAAGCUUGGGUCUGGGCAGCCUGGAGGCCAAGCAAGCAUGGCCCUUGGCACAUGGCAAACAUGUCCCACACUGCCAAGGAGAUCUCUUCUUUCACCUGGAGAAAUGAAGUCUAUGGUUUAGUUUAAUAGCGCUAAGUCCCUAAGGAACAACCAUUACCACAAUGGAUGGGAAGGUGUUUCAAUCCAAAUGUUAUGCUAGUACUAUCCGCACCUAAAGAAAUGUUAUUACAUCAAGUGGUCUUUA